This is a non-coding RNA of Nicotiana sylvestris (wood tobacco), 87 nucleotides long. The record is from Rfam. Lineage: Eukaryota; Viridiplantae; Streptophyta; Magnoliopsida; Solanales; Solanaceae.
GGAGAGAUGACCAAGUGGUUGAAGGCAUAGCAUUGAAACUGCUAUGUAGUCUUUUGUUUAUCGAGGGUUCGGAUCCCUCUCUUUCCG